AGCAUGUGGUUUAAUUCGAAGCAACGCGAAGAACCUUACCAAAUCUUGACAUCCUUUGACAACUCUAGAGAUAGAGCUUUCCCCUUCGGGGGACAAAGUGACAGGUGGUGCAUGGUUGUCGUCAGCUCGUGUCGUGAGAUGUUGGGUUAAGUCCCGCAACGAGCGCAACCCUUAAGCUUAGUUGCCAUCAUUAAGUUGGGCACUCUAAGUUG
This 212-nucleotide ribosomal RNA is filed under the name Staphylococcus aureus. RNAcentral's name for it is "partial 16S ribosomal RNA". It matches the Rfam family "Bacterial small subunit ribosomal RNA", at positions 936 to 1147 of the family's 1533-position model. The record is from RNAcentral. Lineage: Bacteria; Bacillati; Bacillota; Bacilli; Caryophanales; Staphylococcaceae.